GGUGGUCUCUGGAGGCCUUAGAGGGAGGGGAGGGCUUUAGGAAUUCCCGCUAAACGACAUCUAUACAGAGCCUUUCUGCUGACACGGGCCAGCAAGUGGUUAAUAUCAAAAAGCAGACAUCUGAAGAGGCACUGACACCCUCCCACUCACAGAAGGUGAGGCCAGAGGAGCUCCGUGCUGCUAGGAGAUCCAGGCAGAAACAUCCAGGAGUGGAAGCUCAGCCCAGCGGCUGGGAGGCUGUGGCACCUCCUGUCCACAUGGCAGGCCAGGCCGAGGUGGGCUGGCUACACAGUGGGGCU
This 299-nucleotide long non-coding RNA is filed under the name Homo sapiens (human). RNAcentral describes it as "non-protein coding lnc-BUB3-4:9". Lineage: Eukaryota; Metazoa; Chordata; Mammalia; Primates; Hominidae. The record is from RNAcentral.